UCCUUUCCUCUCCUCUCCUCUCCUCUCCUCUCUUCUCCUCUCCUCUCCUCCUCUCCCCUCCCGCCCCGCCUGGCCCUUCUCUGUUGGUGUCUCUCUCAGUGUUUCAUCCUGAGCCUCUGUUAGGCUUCAGGGAGAAUGCUUUUCUCAAAGGAUAGCUUUGUGUAUUCAAUGGAUUAUGUACUUGACACUCAGUGAAUUCCCUACAGUAAGUGGUGGUCAGUACAGUCCAGUUGUUGAGAAACAAGUAGAGUAGGUAAGGUGGACUUUCAGGUAGACUGUUUUCUCAAACGCACUAGCUGCUUUGAGAAAAAUGGUCAUAAGAACAUUGGAGCUGUUGGUCUGUUGCCGAGCAGCAGGCCAACAGCUCCUGUGUUAUGCAAACUAAAAUCAUCCCUUUGUCAAUAGUUUUUGGAUUUAAAGGGGGCCAUUUAUAUACUUCCAUCACAGUUCCACAUACAUCACAACUUGAAGAGAGAUGGGCUCUUAGCUUUUGGAAGGAGCUUUGUGAAUUGCUUCUUGGUUGUCAGUAUCUCUGGUCAGAAGAUCCUGAGUUUGGGCAGAAAGAAGCAUUUGAGGAUUUGGUUCAUCUGUCAGGAAUCCUCAGUGAUCCUUCAAUUUUUGCAAGCUGUUGCUGCUGUGUACCGCAGUGUGACACGGAUCACUCCCAACAGCCACAUGCACAAAAGAUCUAUCUACACUGAUGUGUUCCAUAUGUACGGUAAUGAAAACAUCAACAAUGGCACAUUUUGUGGCUGCAGUCACUAUGUACUGUUUAGCACCGCCACUGAAAAGAAACACCUACUAUAUUUACACCUGAUUAGUCUGUGCAAAAAAACCAAGCUUUCCUCUUUGCAUGGCUUCCUUUUUAAAGGUGGUUCCUAUAGAUUUCUUGUAUACUGUUAUAAGGAAGCCAUUUUGGAGGCUAAGUGUGACUGAAAAGACCUAAUUUUUGAAAUGGGGCUGUGAAAGUGCUUUUGACUUGCAGUCGUGUUUGUUGUUUUUUACCUGAUGAAUAGUUCCCACACCUCUCUGAACACAUUUGUAUGUGGAAAAGCUUCUUUGCCUCCAGCUUCAUCCCAAAAGAACUUCUAACCAGGGUAAAUGAUCAUGACAGACUUCCUUUAAAGCUGUGGUAUGUUACUCUUGUAAAAAAAUGGGUUUUUUACAUAUUUGUUGAAACUGUUGUGACAGUGUGGUAUGAGACAAAUAAUCUGUGAAAACAAUUGAGUUCCUCUGCCUUCUCCCAAUGCAAACUGCAGAAAUACACAACUCAGUCAGGAACAACCAAUUACAGCCAGGAGGAGGGUCUUAGCGCUGUCAAACACUCUAGUGUAUGCACUGCACUCACCCCCUGCCCCCUUGCUCUCUGCUCUCCUACAGCUUGUCCCUAUCAGACCACCUAUGAUGUCAAGAUGGAACAGUUAGGUUAGUUGUUUCUUGGCCAUUAGCACCAUGAGAACGAGGUUGAUAUGUUAUAUGAUUGAUUGUCAUCAAUCAUAUAACAUAUCAACCUCGUUUUAUUGAUAUACAGUGAGCCCUCGCUAUAACACGUUUCACCUUUCACAGCCUUGCUGCUUUGCAAUUUUUUUUGUGCAGUUUUUUUUUUCACAGUGCAUUGUGUUCUGCGUCCUGAUUGGCUAAACAGUCUCCAUGCUUCUUCUCUACCUGUGUGCCAAUAACGUUAUGGUAUUUAAAUAAUACAGCUUGAAAAAUUUUGGCAAAUAUUUUUGCCCAGAAGAAAAAAAAGCAUCAACAACUACCAAUAACUAUGUUCUUCUCUCAAAAAACACACACCUGCACCACAGGCUUCAGAAGAAAAAGCACUAGAGAGCAGAGUGAGGCCGCAGCGUCACAGUCAGAGGAACAGUGAAAUAUGCCAGUCACAAUCUGUCCUACUGUACUUCGUAUUGAUGAUUUAAAUGAUUAUUUUACUGUAGUUAUUCGUAACAAAACGUUCUAUUUGUUAAAAAGAAUGCUUAGGCCUGAAAACACAUUUUGUUCUUUGGUUUCAAUGUAGAGUAUUUAAUCAUGCUUUAUAAUAAUUGUAAAAAAUAAAGGUAACUACUUCACAGAUUUCGCCUCACGGGUUCUUUUCGGAAUGUAACCCCCACGAAAAACGAGGGUUCACUGUAUAUAAUAUAUACCGACAUGUACUGAUAUAUUAUAUAAGACCUUCCUCCUGGCUCUGACUGGUUGUUUCUGGUUGGGAGCGCUGCAUUUCUUCAGACAGCAACAGUAGCUCAGAGAAGAUCGAUCUUUUCACUGGCUCAUAGUUUACUGUCAGGACAAACUGACAGUUUUAGCAAAGAUUUAAAAAACUUUUUUUUAUGUAAAAACAGCCCAGUUUUAACAACUACUUGCUCAGUUUAUUUUGGUGAUAUACUAAUUUAGUGUCCUAGUCUGUAUUAUCAAUGAGCAUUUUGUAUUUAUAAGAAGAUGUUUUAGUUGAAGCAAAGUUUGUGUCAACUAAUGUUGGACUGAAUGUUGAGAGAAAUUCAUUCCCCUACAUAUGAACUAGAGUUCAUAAUAGCAGAGGACUUUGCUGUUGCUUAUCUUUCUGUUCAGUGUCCCUGGAAGUCAGGUAUCUGUUUUUAAAGCCGGCUUCUCAGAACUAGAAUCUAGCCUUAACCCUCCCACCUGCACACUGUUUGCCACCACAAAACCCUGAAGCAGAUUUGUCAUCCACUGUUUAGCAUAUUUAAACAGUGGAAUGAAGUUUUCUCUCUACUUGAGAAAAAGAUUUGAAUUUCUUGUCUGCAUAAUUUCCACGGAGUAUUCACUGCUUAUGUAUUCAGUUUCAAACUGCACUAAUUUGAAAUCAAAAUGAUGAAAUUUAAAUUCCACAUGGAAAAGUAAAGCAAUGCCGCCACUAGCCACAGGGUUCUUUACCACCGUCGUGUCUUUGACCUUCUGAAUCGAGUUAACUGUAGUUUCCACAUGAAAAAAACAGCAGUCUGCACUGUGAAGCAAGUUUAGUGGCCUUUUGAGGCAUCUUCAGGUUCAGUUCAUGAUUUUGUCUUCUUACCUGCGUUAUCUGUAUGCUUGAAAUCUUCCCUACGCCGAAGCAGGAGAAUUCCACCAAUCAGUGCACACAACGGGGAAAAUGAAUGAAAUAGACAGUAGUAUACAACCGUCACCCGACUUUGACACAAACAAUUUUAAGUUUGCUCUUUUCUAUUAAUAGUUUUUUCAGGGGUCUGCAACAUAUUGCUCCUGAGCUGCAUUUAGCACUUUGGAUAUUCCAAAAUGGCUUCAUAACUUUGGUUAAAGUUAUAUAUAGAUUUUGCAGUAGAAGGUUAUGUUAACUGGUCUCUCCAAAUUGCUCUUAUUGUGAGUGUGGAUGAUUGUUUGUCCUAUGUGUGUCUGUAUUGCCCAGUGAGGGACUGGACCUGUCCAGGGCCUACUCUGCCCCUUGCCCAGUAGCUAUAUUUCCAUUACAAAUGUGCACAAAUCUUUGUUUAUAUUCUGCGAACAUAAAAAAAAAACAACACAAUUUGCAAAUGCGGUGUUUUCAUUAGAUAAGAAAUUAAAUUAAAGUCUUAUGUGAAUAAGCUUUUAAUAAUUUCCAAUAUGUUAUUAAAAGUUAUGGCAGCGAAGGAUGUAAACGAUUAAAUGAAAUAGAAUCCUAAUUAAACCUUGGCCCUGGCCAGUUGGUUCAUCCCCAGCAGCUGACCACUGCUGCAGAUAACCACCAGCUCUCUCUCUGCAGUACAAGUGAAUGGAGAUAAAUGCAACAGAAUUAGUCAAAUCAAUUUUUUCUUUGAAAAUAUUAUCAUUAUGUAUCACUCAUCUUUUGGCACAAGUUUCUUUUAUUAUUAUUUUACAACCUGAAAAUGGAAAUAAAUUUGACAGCAAAUUUCAAAAUAUAUAUUUGUUGAAAAAAGUAGAUGGUCUUUUUUCAAAGUAUCAUGCAAAAUUUU
Molecule: long non-coding RNA, 3920 nt
Organism: Gambusia affinis (western mosquitofish)
Lineage: Eukaryota; Metazoa; Chordata; Actinopteri; Cyprinodontiformes; Poeciliidae
Exons: 2
Source: RefSeq, a predicted model, not a curated record